Gracilinanus agilis (Agile Gracile Mouse Opossum) is the source of this 107-nucleotide small nuclear RNA. NCBI's taxonomy places the organism in Eukaryota, Metazoa, Chordata, Mammalia, Didelphimorphia, Didelphidae. The record is from RefSeq and is a predicted model, not a curated record.
GUGCUUGCUUCUAUAGCACAUAUACUAAAAUUGGAAUAAUACAGAGUAGAUUAGCAUGGCCCCUGUGCAAGGAUGACAUGCAAAUUAGUGAAGUGUACCACAUCUUC